CGUAUCGGGACUGGUGGCGAGAUUUGGAGAUUUGUUAUAAUUGACUUGUCUGCUCUUUGUUGGAGUUUCGUGUCUUGGCUUUCGCUACGUUGUUCUUGUACGCGUGCGAUUUGUAUUAAUUGAAAAUUUGCUUAAAAUUUCGGACGCUUUGGAUUUUUCUUUUUAAAUGAACGGAUGGAGAAGUGAUUUUUCGAGAGAAAUGGAAUAUAUUAAUAAUUGGAAUGAAAGUAAUUGUGAAAAUAUUUAGAUACAGUCGCAAGAGGAAUCGUUUGAAAUUUGAAGAAGAAAUUUUUAAAAAUUUUUUAAAUCUUUUAUGAUUUGGUGGGCGUAAUUUAAAAAUAUAAUUGGAAGGUAA
RNAcentral lists this long non-coding RNA (355 nucleotides) under Apis cerana (Asiatic honeybee). Its description in RNAcentral is "9717.1". Lineage: Eukaryota; Metazoa; Arthropoda; Insecta; Hymenoptera; Apidae. The record is from RNAcentral.